UACGAAGGGGGCGAGUGUUACUCAUAGUGAUUGGGCGUAAAGGGUACGUAGGUGGCUUUUUAAGCUUUCAUUAAAAUCCCAUGGCGUAACCGUGGCUUUUGAAAGGACUGAACGGCUACGAGUUUAGUAGAGGUCAGUGGUACUUUUAGAGUAAAAGUGGCAAUUGUAGAUUCUAAGGGGACCCCCAACGGCGAAGGCAACUGACCAGGUUAAACUGACGCUAAUGUACGGAGGCAUGGGGAUCGAACAGG
This 251-nucleotide ribosomal RNA is filed under the name uncultured bacterium. RNAcentral's name for it is "partial 16S ribosomal RNA". It matches the Rfam family "Bacterial small subunit ribosomal RNA", at positions 524 to 776 of the family's 1533-position model. The record is from RNAcentral.